Molecule: ribosomal RNA, 250 nt
Filed under: uncultured soil bacterium
Lineage: Bacteria
Description: partial 16S ribosomal RNA
Rfam family: Bacterial small subunit ribosomal RNA
Source: RNAcentral
AGGACGAACGCUGGCGGCGUGCUUAACACAUGCAAGUCGAGCGGUAAGGCCUUUCGGGGUACACGAGCGGCGAACGGGUGAGUAACACGUGGGUGAUCUGCCCUGCACUUCGGGAUAAGCCUGGGAAACUGGGUCUAAUACCGGAUAUGACCUCCUAUCGCAUGGUGGGUGGUGGAAAGAUUUAUCGGUGCAGGAUGGGCCCGCGGCCUAUCAGCUUGUUGGUGGGGUAAUGGCCUACCAAGGCGACGAC